GCGACGGUGGCGGAAUCGGUAGACGCGGCGGACCUAAAAUCCGCUUUACUCCCAUGGCCAAGACGCUGUGGGUAUGUGGGUUCGAGUCCCAGCUGUCGCA
This 100-nucleotide transfer RNA is filed under the name Actinomycetota bacterium. RNAcentral describes it as "tRNA-Leu". It matches the Rfam family "tRNA". From Rfam's summary of the family: Transfer RNA (tRNA) molecules are approximately 80 nucleotides in length. The record is from RNAcentral. Lineage: Bacteria; Bacillati; Actinomycetota.